RNAcentral lists this transfer RNA (77 nucleotides) under Bacilli bacterium. RNAcentral describes it as "tRNA-Glu". It matches the Rfam family "tRNA". From Rfam's summary of the family: Transfer RNA (tRNA) molecules are approximately 80 nucleotides in length. Lineage: Bacteria; Bacillati; Bacillota; Bacilli. RNAcentral also lists the same sequence under 1 other name. The record is from RNAcentral.
GGCCAGUUGGUGAAGCGACUUAACACACCGCCCUUUCACGGCGGCAUUCAUGGGUUUGAAUCCCAUACUGGUCACCA